Non-coding RNA from Phalacrocorax carbo (great cormorant), 2476 nucleotides. Lineage: Eukaryota; Metazoa; Chordata; Aves; Suliformes; Phalacrocoracidae. The record is from RefSeq and is a predicted model, not a curated record.
CAAUCCAAACAGGCUAAAAUGGUUUACAGGAGUGCCUCAGGAGGUAGGCAGAGCUGGAAGCAGUAGGAUGCUGCUAAAGGAAGCUUUCCUGCAGCUUUCCACACAAUCUCUUACCACCUUUGCUAACAAAACCAGCUACCUGGAAGCAAAGAAAGAGUCCCACACACGUAAGUGAACUCCUCACCUCCCAACACAGGCACAGUGUGGACGGCAUAGAAUAGAGGGGCAUCAACAGGCGCUCAGAGAGCACUAGGAUACAACAUGCACCAAGAACUGAAGGGAAGGACAUAACAGUGCCAUUUCUGGAAUUAGGUCCAGCCUCUUCUCCAGAUGCAAAGGAGAGGUAAAGAGCAGAAGGACACAAUACUUCAGAGACCCAGAGCCGCCAUUCAAAAGUACACAGUGCCUGUGGAGUGAGAGCCUGCUCAAGCAACUAGCACCCUGCACUCACGCACGUCACCAGGAAACAUGGAGGAAUUCAGCAAACCAAGACCACCUCUUACAGCACACAGUGUGCAGAAGUUGCUACUGGCUUCAGCAAGUCUCAGGCCAUAUGUACUUCACUGACUUUUCCAUCAAGCUCAAGACUGACCCAGCACCUCUGUCAAUAAAGCUUAUAUCUCUUGCAGUAAGUGCCCAAGCCAAAUAUUUUGUACACAAGGUUUUAAACCAAAGCUAAUGUGCUAUUUUCCACAAGAGACUACACAAUUACACCCUAUACCAGACCACAUCAACCCUUCUUCUGUCAUUAGAAUAUUCCCUACUACGGAAUAUUUAAGGCCAUCUGUACCAAAGGCCUUUGGGAGGGACGAAGAGGCAGGCAAAAAAAAAACCACCACAGUUCCCAAACCACUACAAAUAUUUUAUGACUGAAAAGUGAGAAUCACCAUCAGCAGUAACAUAAACACAAAGCUCAAUUCCAUCUGCACGUACCUGACACAGUGUUUCUGUUAAAACCUGCAUGCAAAGUAACCUAUUUGGGGGCCAUUUGUACAUUAAAAAAUCCAAAACCCAACUUCACCGCUUAAAUGACCUCUGCCUACUGACUGACAAGCAGAAGAAAACUCAGCAAUAAGAUCACCAAAACCAAAAUACAGCACACAUUGAAGUUUCUGGACAACCCUACAAAGCCACAGUCUAAACUGCAGCAAGAGCAAGAGUAAUGUCCAAGCAGAAAUAUAAGUCCUUUAACAGCCUAAACAUUUUAGAGUUUUAGAACUUUAGAAGUGGAGCACCCUCCUGCUGUUCCUGUUCCAAAAAAGCACUUUCAAAGGGAAGAUUACAUGAAUAGACUUAUUUCAGUUGUUUCAACAUUUCACUUUGAGGCUCAAGUAUUUGCUCUUCUUGCAUCCAAUCGCUACAGAGCCAAACCAGCCUCAUCAGAGGAGUGCCAGGAACAGACUCUAUGCCUAGCGGUUGCAGUGAGGAAUAAAGCUGCCUCUGAAGAAAGAGCCAGGCACCAACAACAAAGAUGGAACAAAGGUGGUAGCUCCUAGAGCUAUGGGGAUGGCCAGGCUGGAACAGACUAACAGUCCAUUUAGCUCAGGAUGUCAUCAGAAGGCCAGGGGCAAAAUCUGGUUUCUGACUCUGUGCUGCACACACCUCUCCAGCCCCUGAGAAUCACAUACAGGUCAUUGAUUUUAAUACACCAAGCUGAAGCCUGUGACCUUAUCUAACACUUCAUGAAGCCACUUAUACUUUUGUCACUGCAGAGGCUGAAAAAAAACCCAAAACCAACCAACUGACCUCUCAAGGAUUCCAGCAGUAGCCAUUUGGACAGGAGCUACUUUUUAUCACUUUAGUGGGUUUAGGAAAAGCUCACAUGGCCAAGCUGAACUACAGACUAGGGGGGAAACGUUGCUUUUGUUUAGACUGUCUAAAAAACAGACAAACUUUUAAAGAACAAGACGUAUUAAGUGAAGACAAAAGAAGGGGCUCGCAGGGGCAUCCAGCUGUGCUCUUUCAGAGGCCUGUGCCUGCACUCUGCCUCUUGCUGUCCAUUCUCCCAGACAUUUCACACCUCAGCAAAAGCCCCCAAUGCUAAGCCCUGUGCAGCCUCUCACUGGAGGUGGCUGUCACACCAUGCCCACCAGCCGGGCACCUUAUGGAUCCUAGGCAGGCCAGGGAAUGCCAGGCAGGCUCCAAGUCCUCCCCCAUUUCUGGCCGGUGACAGAAGGGUGGUUCCAAGCAGGGCUCCUGCCCCUGCCACACGUCCCAAACAGUGCUGCAUGUGCAGGGCAGCCCCACCAUACUGCUUACCCCCUCCAACAGGGCACCUCAGCCACCACCAGCCCCCUUGCCUCCAUGUGCCCCAGCCCCAUAUUCCAGGCAGUCCCUGAGCCCCCCCCAAGUGACCCCCGCCCUCAUCUUUCCCGCCUCAGGGACCUCCCCCGGAGCCCACCGCCCUCACCUCUCCCGCCUCACAGGGUCCCCUGGUUCAGACAAGACCACCAUGCCCAUCAAGGCAGCCCCAUGC